ACUCCUACGGGAGGCAGCAGUGGGAAGUAUUGCACAAUGGCAGGCAGCCAUGCAUGCAGCCAUGCCGCGUGUGUGAAGAAGGCCUUCGGGUUGUAAAGCACUUUCAGUUGUGAGGAAGGUGGUGUCGUUAAUAGCGGCAUCAUUUGACGUUAGCAACAGAAGAAGCACCGGCUAACUCCGUGCCAGCAGCCGCGGUAAUACGGAGGGUGCGAGCGUUAAUCGGAAUUACUGGGCGUAAAGCGCAUGCAGGUGGUUUGUUAAGUCAGAUGUGAAAGCC
RNAcentral lists this ribosomal RNA (277 nucleotides) under uncultured bacterium. Its description in RNAcentral is "partial 16S ribosomal RNA". It matches the Rfam family "Bacterial small subunit ribosomal RNA", at positions 335 to 602 of the family's 1533-position model. The record is from RNAcentral.